Molecule: ribosomal RNA, 443 nt
Filed under: uncultured bacterium
Lineage: Bacteria
Description: partial 16S ribosomal RNA
Rfam family: Bacterial small subunit ribosomal RNA
Source: RNAcentral
CCUACGGGUGGCAGCAGUGGAGAAUAUUGGGCAAUGGAGGCAACUCUGACCCAGCAACGCCGCGUGCAUGAUGGAGGUCUUCUGAUUUUUAAAUUCUUUUCAUGGGGGUGAAAACUAUAACGGUCGCACCAUACCAAACAAAGGCUACCUACGUGCCAGCAGCCGCUGCGAUACGAAGGUGGCAAGCGUUAUCCGGAAUGACUGGGAGUACGGGGUGCGUAGGUGGUUUAGUAGGUUGGCGGUGUAAUGCCGUGGGUGAACAACGGAGAUACCGCCAAUACUAUUAGACUAGAGAGCAGGGGGGGUAAGUGGAAUUCCUGGUGUAGCGGUGGAAUGCGUAGAGAUUAGGCGGAACAGCGAGGGCGAAGGCGACUUACUGGACUGCAACUGACACGGAGGCACGAAAGCGUGGGGAGCAAACAGGAUUAGAUACCCUUGUAGUC